Long non-coding RNA from Lates calcarifer (barramundi perch), 413 nucleotides. RefSeq lists it as uncharacterized. The record is from RefSeq and is a predicted model, not a curated record. The transcript is spliced from 3 exons. Lineage: Eukaryota; Metazoa; Chordata; Actinopteri; Centropomidae.
AAAAAAAUUCAUAGUAUAGUAAGGUGUCAAAAAGUGUCAAAAUUGUCAUAGUAUAGUAUGGCAUCAAAAAGUGUCAAAAAAUGUCAUAGUAUAGUGAGGUGUCAAAAAGUGUCAAAAAAUGUCAUAGUAUAGUAUGGCAUCAAAAAGUGUCAAAAAAUGUCAUAGUAUAGUAAGGUGUCAAAAAAAUUCAUAGUAUAGUAAGGUGUCAAAAAUUGUCAAAAAAUGUCUUAGUAUAGUAAGGUGUCAAAAAGUGUCAAAAUUGUCAUAGUAUAGUAAGGUGUCAAAAAUGGUCAAAAAAUGUCAUAGUAUAGUAAGGUGUCAAAAAAUGUCAUAAAAUGUCAUAGUAUAGUAAGGUGUCAAAAAUGGUCAAAAAAUGUCAUAGUAUAGUAAGGUGUCAAAAAUGGUCAAAAAAU